RNAcentral lists this ribosomal RNA (425 nucleotides) under uncultured bacterium. RNAcentral's name for it is "partial 16S ribosomal RNA". It matches the Rfam family "Bacterial small subunit ribosomal RNA", at positions 354 to 796 of the family's 1533-position model. The record is from RNAcentral.
GUGGGGAAUCUUGCGCAAUGGGCGAAAGCCUGACGCAGCCAUGCCGCGUGAAUGAUGAAGGUCUUAGGAUUGUAAAAUUCUUUCACCGGGGACGAUAAUGACGGUACCCGGAGAAGAAGCUCCGGCUAACUUCGUGCCAGCAGCCGCGGUAAUACGAAGGGGGCUAGCGUUGCUCGGAAUUACUGGGCGUAAAGGGCGCGUAGGCGGACAGUUUAGUCAGAGGUGAAAGCCCAGGGCUCAACCUUGGAAUUGCCUUUGAUACUGGCUGUCUUGAGUACGGGAGAGGUGAGUGGAACGCCGAGUGUAGAGGUGAAAUUCGUAGAUAUUCGGAAGAACACCAGUGGCGAAGGCGACUCACUGGCCCGUUACUGACGCUGAGACGCGAAAGCGUGGGGAGCAAACAGGAUUAGAAACCCCAGUAGUCC